Molecule: ribosomal RNA, 462 nt
Filed under: uncultured bacterium
Lineage: Bacteria
Description: partial 16S ribosomal RNA
Rfam family: Bacterial small subunit ribosomal RNA
Source: RNAcentral
GACGAACGCUGGCGGCGUGCUUAACACAUGCAAGUCGAACGGAAAGGCCCUUCGGGGUCCUCGAGUGGCGAGCGGGUGAGUAACACGUGGGUGAUCUGCCCUGCACUUUGGGAUAAGCCUGGGAAACUGGGUCUAAUACCGAAUAGGACCACGCGCUUCAUGGUGUGUGGUGGAAAGCUUUUGCGGUGUGGGAUGGGCCCGCGGCCUAUCAGCUUGUUGGUGGGGUAAUGGCCUACCAAGGCGACGACGGGUAGCCGGCCUGAGAGGGUGACCGGCCACACUGGGACUGAGAUACGGCCCAGACUCCUACGGGAGGCAGCAGUGGGGAAUAUUGCACAAUGGGCGCAAGCCUGAUGCAGCGACGCCGCGUGAGGGAUGACGGCCUUCGGGUUGUAAACCUCUUUCACCAGGGACGAAGCGUAAGUGACGGUACCUGGAGAAGAAGCACCGGCCAACUACGUG